GACGAACGCUGGCGGCGUGCUUAACACAUGCAAGUCGAACGGAAAGGCCCUGCUUUUGUGGGGUGCUCGAGUGGCGAACGGGUGAGUAACACGUGAGUAACCUGCCCUUGACUUUGGGAUAACUUCAGGAAACUGGGGCUAAUACCGGAUAGGAGCUCCUGCUGCAUGGUGGGGGUUGGAAAGUUUCGGCGGUUGGGGAUGGACUCGCGGCUUAUCAGCUUGUUGGUGGGGUAGUGGCUUACCAAGGCUUUGACGGGUAGCCGGACUGAGAGGGUGACCGGCCUCAUUGGUACUGACAUACGGCCCAGACUCCUACUGGAGGCAGCAGUGGGGAAUAUUGCGCCAUAGGCGGAAGCCUGAUGCAGCAACGCCGCUUGCGGGAUGACGGCCUUCGGGUUGUAAACCGCUUUCGCCUGUGACGAAGCGUGAGUGACGGUAAUGUGUAAAGAAGCACCGGCUAACUACGUG
This 468-nucleotide ribosomal RNA is filed under the name uncultured bacterium. RNAcentral describes it as "partial 16S ribosomal RNA". It matches the Rfam family "Bacterial small subunit ribosomal RNA", at positions 28 to 507 of the family's 1533-position model. The record is from RNAcentral.